UGGCUCAGGACGAACGCUGGCGGCGUGCCUAAUACAUGCAAGUCGAGCGGACAGAUGGGAGCUUGCUCCCUGAUGUUAGCGGCGGACGGGUGAGUAACACGUGGGUAACCUGCCUGUAAGACUGGGAUAACUCCGGGAAACCGGGGCUAAUACCGGAUGGUUGUCUGAACCGCAUGGUUCAGACAUAAAAGGUGGCUUCGGCUACCACUUACAGAUGGACCCGCGGCGCAUUAGCUAGUUGGUGAGGUAACGGCUCACCAAGGCGACGAUGCGUAGCCGACCUGAGAGGGUGAUCGGCCACACUGGGACUGAGACACGGCCCAGACUCCUACGGGAGGCAGCAGUAGGGAAUCUUCCGCAAUGGACGAAAGUCUGACGGAGCAACGCCGCGUGAGUGAUGAAGGUUUUCGGAUCGUAAAGCUCUGUUGUUAGGGAAGAACAAGUGCCGUCAAAUAGGGCGGCACCUUGACGGUACCUAACCAGAAAGCCACGGCUAACUACGUGCCAGCA
Molecule: ribosomal RNA, 510 nt
Filed under: Bacillus sp. (in: firmicutes)
Lineage: Bacteria; Bacillati; Bacillota; Bacilli; Caryophanales; Bacillaceae
Description: bacterial SSU rRNA
Rfam family: Bacterial small subunit ribosomal RNA
Source: RNAcentral